Molecule: small RNA, 103 nt
Filed under: Flavobacterium noncentrifugens
Lineage: Bacteria; Pseudomonadati; Bacteroidota; Flavobacteriia; Flavobacteriales; Flavobacteriaceae
Description: Flavo-1 RNA
Rfam family: Flavo-1 RNA
Source: RNAcentral
GUGCGUUAGGGAUAGUAGUGGAAAUCCUUUUUGUUUUUGAAAUUACAAUCUAUUUAGAACCAUCUUUCAAACAAAAAGAUUGAAACGCAUAGCCCGACCUUUA